UGAGUCACACAACCUGGAGAGCACUAGACCACAGUGCUUACCUGAGUCCAGGAUUGACUUGAGGGAGUCCUGAUCACCAGAACGGCAUGCGGAUCCCACCUUUACCAUGUGCUGCCUGGGGGACCCUGGUGAUUACCUCACCAUAGGUCCUGACUAUGCAAACAUCCAACUCCAAGGAGGGUCCUGGUCCUGAGUUGACUUAACCAAAGAAAUAAUAUGUUUAUAACAAUAGUAGGAAGUCAGUAGAUAAUCAUCAUGAUUUCUUACAUGAAAUGCCAGACAACUGAAGGGCACUGCAGUGAUAUCCACAUGGUAUUUAACCAGUCAGUAUUCAGGGAUAACGAUGAUGGGAAUGGAGGAGCGAGAGCUGAUGUGACCAGGGGGUAGGCUGCCGUGCUCUUGUUCUGUUUACACUGAGCACAAAGGUGAUGCAGCAGUACCUGGACACACCAGUUGUUUAAGGGAAAAAGCAGCUGCUGUCUAAUCCAGGGGGCAAAUGACUUGAGUAGACAGUUUGGCAAAGAAGAAAUACAGCGAACAAGCCAAUGAAAAAAUGCUCAAUAUCAUGUCACUAGGAAAAUGCAAACUAAAACCACUAUGACAUAUCCCCACUAAAGCUGGUAAAACCAGAGACUGACCGUACCAAGUAUUAGCAGGGAUGCACAGCAGCAGGGACUCGGGGUGUUGCUGCUGAGAAUGUGAGGGACAGCUUACUUGAAAACGUCUGGUGGUUCCCUCAAAGACACCCUCGCUCUACAACCUAGCAACCCUGUUCCUGGGUACUUACCAAGAGGUUUAAAUGGGACCACUUGUCCACACCGAGACUUGUCCAUGCAGGCUCAUCACAGAUCACUCAGAACAGAGAAAAACUGGUGGAUGGAUUGAGAAUGAAACGCCUCCCAGCAUCUAAUGAUUCACGCAGCAACGUGGGGGCAGCACAAGGGCAGCCGGCCAGGAGCUAACCCAACUGGGAGACCUCAGAGAGGGCGAUGCAGCCAUGAGUGUUGGGCGGCAAAGGACUUCUCUCAACCUUCUUGUUAUGGGGAUUUCUCAAUAAGCCUGCCCCAGGAGAGGACAGCUGUGACUGGACCUGGCCUGGGCUGGGCUGGGGCACCAGGAUGGGGGCAGAGGGCCUCUCUGCUGCUGGCUUUCGACCUCAGUCCGUGUCCCUGCACCUCGGGGCGGGGCUUUCUCGUGGUCCUGCCUCUCCCAGGAGUAGGCUAUCUCCUCGCGUGCCUCCUCACAGGCAGAGGGCCUCUGCUCCUCCAGCCUCACCCUCCAGCCUCGGUCUCCAUCUGUGUUUUCUGCUGCUCCCUCAGUGACUCCAGGCUUUUGUUCUUUAAAGGAGAGCUUUGAGGGCUUUGAGGAAGCUUUCUUGGCUGCCUGCCCUGCCCCGCCCCGUGAGCACGGUGCGGUCCCUGCGGAGGGCCCCGGGGGUCUCGGCACCCACGGCUCUUGCCCUCAGCUGCCCUGCUCCGUGCGUGCCUGCCGCGCUUCACUAGAAGUCUCAGCUCACCUCCUGCCCAGCUCUGCCCCAUGACCCACUCUCCUGCCCUCCUUGGAGGCCUGUCUGUCUUAGAUCUCAGGCAGCUCCUUGAUGGGCUUGGAAUGAUUUUGUAGAUCUGUCUAAACUCCUGUUAGGAUGAGGGUGUGACUCUUUCCAGCUUUCUGCGUCCUAAAUGAAAGCCAGAAUAUCUAGCUUAUGGAUUAAAAAAAAUUGGAAGGUUGAGGGAGUGACAAAAUGUGAACGGCUGGAAAU
Molecule: long non-coding RNA, 1759 nt
Organism: Bos taurus (domestic cattle)
Lineage: Eukaryota; Metazoa; Chordata; Mammalia; Artiodactyla; Bovidae
Source: Ensembl